AACGCACAUUGCGCCCUCUGGUAUUCCGGGGGGCAUGCCUGUUCGAGCGUCAUUAUAACCACUCAAGCUCUCGCUUGGUAUUGGGGUUCGCGGUUUCGCGGCCCCUAAAAUCAGUGGCGGUGCCUGUCGGCUCUACGCGUAGUAAUACUCCUCGCGAUUGAGUCCGGUAGGUUUACUUGCCAGCAACCCCUAAUUUUUUUAAGGUUGACCUCGGAUCAGGUAGGGAUACCCGCUGAACUUAA
This 242-nucleotide unclassified non-coding RNA is filed under the name uncultured Helotiales. RNAcentral describes it as "sequence contains ITS2". The stretch from base 1 to 52 matches the Rfam family "5.8S ribosomal RNA", at positions 103 to 154 of the family's 154-position model. The record is from RNAcentral. Lineage: Eukaryota; Fungi; Ascomycota; Leotiomycetes; Helotiales.